AACCUUAUGGACCUGCGGGCGUAUACCUGCGGAAGGAUCAUUAACGUGCUGUGGAGGUCUACCUUUAAACGGGUAUGAUCUUUCACAUGGCCACCCUUGUUUACCUUAACUGUUGCUUUGGUGGGCCUGCCGAUAAGGCUGCCGGGGAAUUUUUAAAUUCCCGGGCUCGUGCUCACCAAAGUUCUUUGAACUCUGGGUUUUGUUUUUAGCUGUCUGAGUGUUAAAAUCAAAUUAUUUUUA
This 240-nucleotide unclassified non-coding RNA is filed under the name soil metagenome. RNAcentral describes it as "partial contains 5.8S ribosomal RNA, internal transcribed spacer 2, and large subunit ribosomal RNA". The record is from RNAcentral.